Molecule: non-coding RNA, 94 nt
Organism: Burkholderia sp.
Lineage: Bacteria; Pseudomonadati; Pseudomonadota; Betaproteobacteria; Burkholderiales; Burkholderiaceae
Source: Rfam
UUCUAUGGGCGGGCCGUGGGGGGAGAGCCGCAAGGCUCGCCGGUUCUGAUUCUCUACCCGGUCUGCUAAUCCGCCUACGUGCCCGCUCACCCCA